Molecule: long non-coding RNA, 801 nt
Organism: Artibeus jamaicensis (Jamaican fruit-eating bat)
Lineage: Eukaryota; Metazoa; Chordata; Mammalia; Chiroptera; Phyllostomidae
Exons: 3
Source: RefSeq, a predicted model, not a curated record
CACUCAUCAGACAACUGCAAGGACAUUGUCCAGGACAGUGUUAAUUCCAUUUACCUGUGAUAUCCAAGAGGCAGACAGAUUCUCAUUUCCUGGACACCAACCUCAGCCCCUCCAGGGGUCCCAGUGUUCCCAAGACCUGGAACUUCCCCUGUGGGAGCAUGCACCCUGGGCGAAGACCAUUAUUUUGGCAUCAAUGAGUAGUAGCCUCAACCGAAUGGGGCAGAAAGGUCAGGAUAUUUUCAUGGGGAUCCAGGGAAGACAUAGACACAUAUGUACACUGUGUGCUGGAACCGAGUCAACUUUUUCAAAAUAUAUGUUUCUCCCAGUGGGAAGCCUCAAGACUGGUCAAAGCUGAUAAAUCUAAUGGCUGUAGGAAGUUCCCCAAUCUUGCAUCUUAGACAUCACUUCCUGGACAAUUGGAGCUUUUCCUAGAGAAGUUUGUCAUGAGGACCUAAGACUACAGUGGAUAAAGGAGCCAGAGUACCUGCUGAGGCCUAGAUACCCACUCUUUCUGAGCACUCAGUGACUUUAAAUGACUGCCAAUGUUAAAAGUGAUCCUAAUUUAUAACAUGGGCCCUGGCUGGUGUAGCUCAGUGGACUGAGCGAGGGCUGCGAACCAAAGGGUAUAGGGCCCGGUCCCCAGUGGGGGCCAUGUGAGAGGCAACCACACAUUGAUGUUUCUUUCCCUUUCUUUCUCCUUCCCUUCCCCUCCUUCUAAAAAAAUAAAAAUAAAAAUAUAACAUGGAAUGGAGAUAAAAAUAACUUAUUUUGUAGCUUCUUGCUAAAUGUAAUUCUGAUGAU